GACGAACGCUGGCGGCGUGCUUAACACAUGCAAGUCGAACGAUGAAGCCUUUUGGGGUGGAUUAGUGGCGAACGGGUGAGUAACACGUAGGCAAUCUGCCCUGUACUUUGGGAUAAGCCUUGGAAACGAGGUCUAAUACCGGAUAUGACUGGCCUUCGCAUGGGGGUUGGUUGAAAGUUCUGGCGGUACAGGAUGAGCCCGCGGCCUAUCAGCUUGUUGGUGGGGUGAUGGCCUACCAAGGCGA
RNAcentral lists this ribosomal RNA (244 nucleotides) under uncultured Actinomycetes bacterium. Its description in RNAcentral is "uncultured actinobacterium partial 16S ribosomal RNA". It matches the Rfam family "Bacterial small subunit ribosomal RNA", at positions 28 to 276 of the family's 1533-position model. The record is from RNAcentral. Lineage: Bacteria; Bacillati; Actinomycetota; Actinomycetes.